RNAcentral lists this ribosomal RNA (428 nucleotides) under uncultured bacterium. RNAcentral's name for it is "bacterial SSU rRNA". It matches the Rfam family "Bacterial small subunit ribosomal RNA", at positions 917 to 1344 of the family's 1533-position model. The record is from RNAcentral.
GGGCCCGCACAAGCGGUGGAGCAUGUGGUUUAAUUCGAUGCAACGCGAAGAACCUUACCUGGUCUUGACAUACACAGAAUCUUGUAGAGAUACGAGAGUGCCUUCGGGAAUUGUGAUACAGGUGCUGCAUGGCUGUCGUCAGCUCGUGUCGUGAGAUGUUGGGUUAAGUCCCGCAACGAGCGCAACCCUUGUCCUUAGUUACCAGCGGGUUAAGCCGGGAACUCUAAGGAUACUGCCAGUGACAAACUGGAGGAAGGCGGGGACGACGUCAAGUCAUCAUGGCCCUUACGACCAGGGCUACACACGUGCUACAAUGGUAGGUACAGAGGGCAGCUACACAGCGAUGUGAUGCGAAUCUCAAAAAGCCUAUCGUAGUCCGGAUUGCAGUCUGCAACUCGACUGCAUGAAGUCGGAAUCGCUAGUAAUCG